This is a long non-coding RNA of Symphalangus syndactylus (siamang), 815 nucleotides long. RefSeq lists it as uncharacterized. The record is from RefSeq and is a predicted model, not a curated record. Lineage: Eukaryota; Metazoa; Chordata; Mammalia; Primates; Hylobatidae.
UGGGACUCUGCAGAGUCCUUGCCAGCAAGAACGCUCUCAUCUGUUAUGCCUCUGGACCUUGGACUUCUCAGCCUCCAUAACUGGUGCCUGUGCAUCAGUAUGCACUGUGAUAGGAAAUGAGAAGCAGUCUGAGUGUUCAUUGCUAAGCGAAUCAAGAGGCAAAAUAUCAUGGAUGCACUCAUGGACAAAUAAGCAGCAGUUAGAAGCAACACCCUAGAUGGAUGUACAGCCAUCAAGGGGAUCUUAAAGUGUGGUCUUUAGUGGAAAAAAAGCAGAAGCAACGUAUGGGAGACCGAGUAAUUAGACACAAGCUCACAUCACUAUCUCUUCCACCACUGUCAUCCAUCAUGACUGAUCUGGGAGAUGAAACAGCACAGAUCUAAAGGACGCAGAAGAAAGAAGCUUAUAAAGUGUCCAUCAUGAGAAUCCACCUGGGACCUACACAAGAGAUCAAAUACCCAGAACAAAUCACCACGUCAGAGCCCCACAGAAUUCUGAAUCCCAACCAGCAAGCAUGAAUAAUCCUUUUAAAUGGUCACUUACAUAUCAGAACAGGUCCUUUGUGAAAUUUCUAAGCAAGGCCUCUGGUUUCUGACUGAAACAGAGAUUUAUUGAGAAGGGGGGGUAAAGUGAAAUCAAGAACUACUGGGAAAUUUCCACAAGAAACAAGGACAAAUGGUUUUUGUUGUCAGAGUAAAACCAGCCUCCCCUAGGAGGCUGGAAAGUUAUUUGCUAGCCCACAGGGGACAAAUAUUCUCAAUUGGUUUGCCAGGGACUGUUUUGAUCCAAUUACAGUUACUGGGCAAAUACAGUAG